RNAcentral lists this ribosomal RNA (253 nucleotides) under uncultured bacterium. Its description in RNAcentral is "partial 16S ribosomal RNA". It matches the Rfam family "Bacterial small subunit ribosomal RNA", at positions 524 to 776 of the family's 1533-position model. The record is from RNAcentral.
UACGGAGGGAGCUAGCGUUGUUCGGAAUUACUGGGCGUAAAGCGCACGUAGGCGGCUUUGUAAGUUAGAGGUGAAAGCCUGGAGCUCAACUCCAGAACUGCCUUUAAGACUGCAUCGCUUGAAUCCAGGAGAGGUGAGUGGAAUUCCGAGUGUAGAGGUGAAAUUCGUAGAUAUUCGGAAGAACACCAGUGGCGAAGGCGGCUCACUGGACUGGUAUUGACGCUGAGGUGCGAAAGCGUGGGGAGCGAACAGG